UUUUUUUCUUUGCAUGCUCUAUAUGAGAUUCUUAUUUGCUACUUCAUGCUGAUAUAACUUUGACUGUUUUUAUGUUAUAUGUGGUUAUAUAUAUAUAUAUUGCCAAAAACAACCUGUACAUGCAAUUCCAGGAUGAGAACAAACAAAAAGUAAACCCUUUAAUAACAAUGAAUACUCAAAAGAAGUCCAGGAUGAAUGGAGAGUCAUUCUAAUUUCAAUCGAAAAUAAGGAUAUAUUGGAUAGGGACGGUUUAGCCGUGCAACAGGUCUGCGAUGAUUCCACCAAACAUCUGUGGCACAUUGGCACUCUCUUUACAGAAGUCGUCGAGUAAAGACUUCUUUUUUCAUAUGUUCACAUAUGAUUUCAAUAUAGAUAGAUCCUUCAAAGACACGGGUUCUUGUCUCCCCAUAAAAUGUUCCCAUAUAUAAAGGCAACAGUAGUAUACCGCUGUUCAAACUCAUAAAUCCAUGGACAAAAAACAAAAUCGGGGUAACAAACUAUAACGG
Molecule: long non-coding RNA, 506 nt
Filed under: Mytilus galloprovincialis (Mediterranean mussel)
Lineage: Eukaryota; Metazoa; Mollusca; Bivalvia; Mytilida; Mytilidae
Source: RNAcentral